Molecule: microRNA, 21 nt
Filed under: Corchorus olitorius
Lineage: Eukaryota; Viridiplantae; Streptophyta; Magnoliopsida; Malvales; Malvaceae
Description: ssp-miR11
Source: RNAcentral
UACUACUCCCUCCGUCCCUAU